AUUCCCUUCAUCGAAGGUCGACUUGGCGAGGAAUUCAGCUCAUUGUGCAACAUGAAGAUUCUUAUUGUUUUGCUAGCGACCAUGUUGGUUUGUUCAGCUAACUCUGGGGAAAGAGAGAGGAACUCAGAAGUACUGGACUCAAAAGUACUGGACUCAGGCUUAGUUCGAGAGAGCCGUUCAUGUGGUGACAGGUUUCCCUUCCAAGCCUGUAGCAUAGCUCGGCGUGUGCGUGCUCACUGCAAAAAGCUGUACUACAAAAUUGGCUGCAGACGAAUGUGCGGACUCUGUUGAUGGUUUUGAACUGGCGAGACUGGUGUGAGCCAAGAUGACAAGCCGGAGUGUUCUUUAUGAAGCGAUUAUUUCAUUGGUACACAAUGUAUCUGUUAAAAACAUUCUUCAAGGGCAAUAAAAAUUUGAAA
This 419-nucleotide unclassified non-coding RNA is filed under the name Stylophora pistillata. RNAcentral describes it as "u-actitoxin-Avd9a-like, transcript variant X1". Lineage: Eukaryota; Metazoa; Cnidaria; Anthozoa; Scleractinia; Pocilloporidae. The record is from RNAcentral.